AAGCUGCUGGGGGAGCCGAAGCUCCCCCAAAGUGUGUGCUCUUUAUUGUUGUUUUCUGUUCGGGCUUCUUGUUUUUGUUGAGUGCCCAUUCACGAGACUUUCGUCUGUGAAACCUCCCAAUCGGGAGUCAAGAGCAAACGGAUUGCUUUGGUCGCUGCGUUGCAAUGAUCAUUCGAUCCAACCAGUUCAGGCGCUACCUAAGGAGGCG
RNAcentral lists this non-coding RNA (208 nucleotides) under Pseudomonas cannabina. Lineage: Bacteria; Pseudomonadati; Pseudomonadota; Gammaproteobacteria; Pseudomonadales; Pseudomonadaceae. The record is from RNAcentral.